This 509-nucleotide ribosomal RNA is filed under the name Nasutitermes sp. 1 RCD-2018. RNAcentral describes it as "partial 16S ribosomal RNA". It matches the Rfam family "Bacterial large subunit ribosomal RNA", at positions 1807 to 2577 of the family's 2925-position model. The record is from RNAcentral. Lineage: Eukaryota; Metazoa; Arthropoda; Insecta; Blattodea; Termitidae.
ACAAAAACAUCUUUUCUUGUUAGUUUUUGAAGUAUGGCCUGCCCACUGACUUGGAGUUGAAGGGCCGCGGUAUUUUGACCGUGCAAAGGUAGCAUAAUCAUUAGUUCUUUAAUUGUGAUCUGGUAUGAAUGGCUUGACGAGACAUGAGCUGUCUUAGGGGUAUUGAUUAUAUUGAAUUUGGUUUUUGAGUUAAAAUUCUUAAAUGUUUUUAUGGGACGAGAAGACCCUAUAGAGUUUGACAAAUUUCUUAUUUAUUCAUUGUUUGUCUUAUUUACAUUGAAUAAGAAUUAUUAUUGUUUUGUUGGGGUGAUGGGAGGAAUAUUUUUAACUCCUCUUUGUUUUUGUAUAUUUAUGUAUGUUUUUUUGAUCCAUUUAUUUUGAUUAUAAGACUAAAUUACCUUAGGGAUAACAGCGUUAUCCUCCUUGAGAGUUCUUAUUGGCGGGGGGGUUUGCGACCUCGAUGUUGGAUUAAGGUGAAUUUUCGGUGCAGGAGCUGAAAGUGAUUAGGU